This 1857-nucleotide long non-coding RNA is filed under the name Salvia miltiorrhiza (redroot sage). Its description in RNAcentral is "long non-coding RNA (SMIL_LNC007440)". The record is from RNAcentral. Lineage: Eukaryota; Viridiplantae; Streptophyta; Magnoliopsida; Lamiales; Lamiaceae.
GUAGAUUCAUAUCAAAAACCAACUGUCAAACAUCCAUAAUCGAUUAGCAUUUUCUUUUCAGUUUUGAUUAUAACAGAAAUUAUGAAUCCAAUUACUCUCUAGAAAGCAAGAAGACAAUGUUAGCUUGAUAGCAUCUCAUGAUACGAUUAAAACAAACAUAACUCGAACAUGCAUCUAAAUGCUCUGUCAAUGUAACAAGUAACAAUGUAGGAAACAUCUAACAAAUUGCAAAAGCUCCUAACUAACACCACAAAAUCAAAACCUGUGCUUCUUCUAUCAACUAAGCCGAAACGAUCAUCACAGUUGCUGGAGAAGAAAUAUUGAACAAACAACCUUUAUUUUAUUUUUCAUUACAAUAAAUGAUGUAGGUUGCUGGAGAAGAAAUAUUGAACAAACAACAAAGAAAAAAGAAGAAGCUUACUCUCUAAGCUCAUCAGCAGUGAGCUCAUCGUUUCUGAAAACUUCGAAUUCAACCUAGCUCUGCCAUAUACUGUGGAACACCAAAUGAGUAGCAAAAAAUAAAAUCGAAGCAUUAUUAUAUCUUAUGUAAUGUAAUUACUAAUUAAGAAUAAUGAAUCUAUAAAAUAACGAAAGAAAUUGAUAAGAAAAUACUUCCCUGGCCAUUUAAUAAUAGAAACUCAUAUCUAUUGCUAUCCACAAAUACCCACUAUAGAAUAUUAGAGGAAAGCUAGUGAAAUAUCUUACCCUAAUCCGUAGACGGUCAGCAACCUCAGAUUAUUCAUCAUAUACCUCAUCAAUUACCUGCAACAGUUCACAGAAGAAACAAGAAGUUCACAAACAUUAAAUAUCUUCGUGAUAAUCGGAAAAUCAAAACUACUGCAAGGUUCAAGAACAAGAAUUUCAUUCAAGGAAAUAUAGCAUAACAUAGUUACAAGCAUUCGAAAUUUGCAAGCUAAACUAUCAAUUGAUUAUAUAAGGUUCACAAAAAUCUACAUUACCUUCUCCUCUAUGGAAGAUCAGUUUGUAUUUUGUAAGCUUUAAGGCAACCAUUGGUAACCUACAUUUCAUCGAAUAGUUGGUGUACUAAUCAGUUCAUAUUUUGCUCAAUCUCCAUAGUUAAUACAACUACCAAUUUGCCUAGAUUUAUCACUUCAUUAAAAAACUACAUUAGAAUUUUCACUAACCAUCAAAUUAUCCUUCCCUUAGCAGCCGCAUGAGCAGAGGUCAGUUUUCUUCUUCUUUUUUUUGCCUUUGUGUAAUUCGCUUCACUGGCGUUCAGUUUCCUGAGCCUCUGCCUCUGAAUUGUUUCCACCUGCACAAAUAUGUCGAAGUUCUCCAUCAACAAUUGACUGCAUUCUAGACUCAAAAUAUAUAAAAGAUUUAUUAAUCACCCUAUUCACUUUGUGGCGGAAAAUGUCGUGCCGAUCAAUCAGAUUGAUUUUGAGGUCAUUCUGCAAAUAGAAUCUAGAAACUAGAAUAUGAGAGAGAGAGAGAGAGAGAGAGCUUACCGGAGGUGGGGUGGUGAACGGGAGCCGCGAAAGAGAAGAACGACAGCCUUGACUAGGGCUUUUAAUUUGGGGAUGAGAAAUAUUCUGAGAAGAAAGCCGGCAAGCCGGCAGCGGUAUAAUUGUAGUUUUAUCUUACAGACUAGACCAUUUACCGAGGGAAAUAAAUCACUCGGUAAAAUUAAAACUAUAAAUCUAAAACUAAUUUAAUCUGAUUAAAAAUUAAAGAGACAUUUACCGAGGGAAUGAUUCUCUCGGUAAAAUAUUCACUCGGUAUUCCCUCAGUAAACCUGCAAAUACAUUAAUUCUCGGAAAAUUCUCGCCAAAUACUCGUUAUUUACCGAGUGAAAUAACUCCGUCGGCAAUUCCUCGGUAAAAAGAUGUUUUUUUG